Molecule: long non-coding RNA, 411 nt
Organism: Capsicum annuum
Lineage: Eukaryota; Viridiplantae; Streptophyta; Magnoliopsida; Solanales; Solanaceae
Exons: 3
Source: RefSeq, a predicted model, not a curated record
UGAAAAAGUCACGGGUAAGAAGAGAAACGUCCGGGCAAAGAGUCGCGGUUAUGGGGAACUUGUGGUCGACCGCAGCAGAACCUCCACCGCUUAUGGUGUUAGUUCCGCCCCUCUUCAAUUUUCCUCCUCUCGCCGCCUGCACAAGGAUGCUGGAAUCAUCAUAUAAUAUGUUAUUUGGGAAACUGGCAUUGAGAUGCCUUUUUGAGGAUUAUUUCGAGGAAGCCAGGCACUUUAGCACCAGAAUUAUGCUUAAGCCAAUUGAUGAUCCACACGUUGAUUUGAUUGCAACAAAUUAAUAUUAUAGAACUGGUUGUCGUUUAUACUCAGUUGUUGUUUGAACGUAUAACAACAUACAUUUUCGUACAGGACCUAACUACUUGAAUUUAAAAUAUAAGUGCGAAUUAUAUAAAA